GAGCGGCGAACGGGUGAGUAACACGUGAGUAACCUGCCCCNGACUCUGGGAUAAGCCCGGGAAACUGGGUCUAAUACCGGAUAUGACACCUCCUCGCAUGGGGUGGGUGUGGAAAGUCUUUUCGGUUGGGGAUGGACUCGCGGCCUAUCAGCUUGUUGGUGGGGUAAUGGCCUACCAAGGCGACGACGGGUAGCCGGCCUGAGAGGGCGACCGGCCACACUGGGACUGAGACACGGCCCAGACUCCUACGGGAGGCAGCAGUGGGGAAUAUUGCGCAAUGGGCGAAAGCCUGACGCAGCGACGCCGCGUGGGGGAUGACGGCCUUCGGGUUGUAAACCUCUUUCAGCAGGGACGAAGUUGACGUGUACCUGCAGAAGAAGCGCCGGCUAACUACGUGCCAGCAGCCGCGGUAAUACGUAGGGCGCAAGCGUUGUCCGGAAUUAUUGGGCGUAAAGAGCUCGUAGGUGGCUUGUCACGUCGGGUGUGAAAGCUUGGGGCUUAACUCCAGGUCUGCAUUCGAUACGGGCUGGCUAGAGGUAGGUAGGGGAGAACGGAAUUCCU
Molecule: ribosomal RNA, 561 nt
Filed under: Streptosporangium sp. 322G02
Lineage: Bacteria; Bacillati; Actinomycetota; Actinomycetes; Streptosporangiales; Streptosporangiaceae
Description: bacterial SSU rRNA
Rfam family: Bacterial small subunit ribosomal RNA
Source: RNAcentral